RNAcentral lists this ribosomal RNA (1402 nucleotides) under Microbacterium sp. FXJ8.187. RNAcentral's name for it is "bacterial SSU rRNA". It matches the Rfam family "Bacterial small subunit ribosomal RNA". The record is from RNAcentral. Lineage: Bacteria; Bacillati; Actinomycetota; Actinomycetes; Micrococcales; Microbacteriaceae.
CUACCAUGCAAGUCGAACGGUGAAGCCAAGCUUGCUUGGUGGAUCAGUGGCGAACGGGUGAGUAACACGUGAGCAACCUGCCCUGAACUCUGGGAUAAGCGCUGGAAACGGCGUCUAAUACUGGAUAUGAGCUGCGGAGGCAUCUUCGUGGUUGGAAAGAUUUUUCGGUUUGGGAUGGGCUCGCGGCCUAUCAGCUUGUUGGUGAGGUAAUGGCUCACCAAGGCGUCGACGGGUAGCCGGCCUGAGAGGGUGACCGGCCACACUGGGACUGAGACACGGCCCAGACUCCUACGGGAGGCAGCAGUGGGGAAUAUUGCACAAUGGGCGGAAGCCUGAUGCAGCAACGCCGCGUGAGGGAUGACGGCCUUCGGGUUGUAAACCUCUUUUAGCAGGGAAGAAGCGAAAGUGACGGUACCUGCAGAAAAAGCGCCGGCUAACUACGUGCCAGCAGCCGCGGUAAUACGUAGGGCGCAAGCGUUAUCCGGAAUUAUUGGGCGUAAAGAGCUCGUAGGCGGUUUGUCGCGUCUGCUGUGAAAACCCGAGGCUCAACCUCGGGCCUGCAGUGGGUACGGGCAGACUAGAGUGCGGUAGGGGAGAUUGGAAUUCCUGGUGUAGCGGUGGAAUGCGCAGAUAUCAGGAGGAACACCGAUGGCGAAGGCAGAUCUCUGGGCCGUAACUGACGCUGAGGAGCGAAAGGGUGGGGAGCAAACAGGCUUAGAUACCCUGGUAGUCCACCCCGUAAACGUUGGGAACUAGUUGUGGGGUCCAUUCCACGGAUUCCGUGACGCAGCUAACGCAUUAAGUUCCCCGCCUGGGGGAGUACGGCCGCAAGGCUAAAACUCAAAGGAAUUGACGGGGACCCGCACAAGCGGCGGAGCAUGCGGAUUAAUUCGAUGCAACGCGAAGAACCUUACCAAGGCUUGACAUACACGAGAACGCUGCAGAAAUGUAGAACUCUUUGGACACUCGUGAACAGGUGGUGCAUGGUUGUCGUCAGCUCGUGUCGUGAGAUGUUGGGUUAAGUCCCGCAACGAGCGCAACCCUCGUUCUAUGUUGCCAGCACGUAAUGGUGGGAACUCAUGGGAUACUGCCGGGGUCAACUCGGAGGAAGGUGGGGAUGACGUCAAAUCAUCAUGCCCCUUAUGUCUUGGGCUUCACGCAUGCUACAAUGGCCGGUACAAAGGGCUGCAAUACCGCGAGGUGGAGCGAAUCCCAAAAAGCCGGUCCCAGUUCGGAUUGAGGUCUGCAACUCGACCUCAUGAAGUCGGAGUCGCUAGUAAUCGCAGAUCAGCAACGCUGCGGUGAAUACGUUCCCGGGUCUUGUACACACCGCCCGUCAAGUCAUGAAAGUCGGUAACACCUGAAGCCGGUGGCCCAACCCUUGUGGAGGGAGCCGUCGAAG